Molecule: small nuclear RNA, 18 nt
Filed under: Arabidopsis thaliana (thale cress)
Lineage: Eukaryota; Viridiplantae; Streptophyta; Magnoliopsida; Brassicales; Brassicaceae
Description: snRNA_18921
Source: RNAcentral
UUCCGGAACCGGGACGUG